Molecule: ribosomal RNA, 520 nt
Filed under: uncultured prokaryote
Description: bacterial SSU rRNA
Rfam family: Bacterial small subunit ribosomal RNA
Source: RNAcentral
AGGGCUCCUACAUGCUUAAAACCGGCGGUGGAUAGUCAAGCGCUUUCACCGAGGAGGAAGCUACUGAGACUAAUACUCUGGGAUACUGCACGUUACUCGCAGAAUAAACACCGGCUAACUCUGUGCCAGCAGCCGCGGUAAUACAGAGGGUGCGAGCGUUAAUCGGAUUUACUGGGCGUAAAGCGUGCGUAGGCGGCUUUUUAAGUCGGAUGUGAAAUCCCCGAACUUAACUUGGGAAUUGCAUUCGAUACUGGGAAGCUACAGUAUGGGAGAGGAUGGUAGAAUUCCAGGUGUAGCGGUGAAAUGCGUAAAGAUCUGGAGGAAUACCGAUGGCGAAGGCAGCCAUCUGGCCUAAUACUGACGCUGAGGUACGAAAGCAUGGGGAGCAAACAGGAUUAGAUACCCUGGUAGUCCAUGCCGUAAACGAUGUCUACUAGCCGUUGGGGCCUUUGAGGCUUUAGUGGCGCAGCUAACGCGAUAAGUAAACCGCCUGGGGAGUAGGUCGCAACUAAAACUCAAA